This 405-nucleotide ribosomal RNA is filed under the name uncultured beta proteobacterium. RNAcentral's name for it is "bacterial SSU rRNA". It matches the Rfam family "Bacterial small subunit ribosomal RNA", at positions 9 to 416 of the family's 1533-position model. Lineage: Bacteria; Pseudomonadati; Pseudomonadota; Betaproteobacteria. The record is from RNAcentral.
GAGUUUGAUCUUGGCUCAGAUUGAACGCUGGCGGCAUGCCUUACACAUGCAAGUCGAGCGGCAGCGCGGGGGCAACCCUGGCGGCGAGCGGCGCACGGGUGAGUAAUGCAUCGGAACGUGUCCUCUUGUGGGGGAUAACCAGUCGAAAGACUGGCUAAUACCGCAUGAGCACGAGAGUGGAAAGCGGGGGACCGUAAGGCCUCGCGCGAGAGGAGCGGCCGAUGCCGGAUUAGCUAGUUGGUGGGGUAAAGGCCUACCAAGGCGACGAUCCGUAGCUGGUCUGAGAGGAUGAUCAGCCACACUGGGACUGAGACACGGCCCAGACUCCUACGGGAGGCAGCAGUGGGGAAUUUUGGACAAUGGGGGCAACCCUGAUCCAGCAAUGCCGCGUGAGUGAUGAAGGCC